This 395-nucleotide ribosomal RNA is filed under the name uncultured bacterium. Its description in RNAcentral is "bacterial SSU rRNA". It matches the Rfam family "Bacterial small subunit ribosomal RNA", at positions 29 to 426 of the family's 1533-position model. The record is from RNAcentral.
AUUAAACGCUGGCGGCAUGCCUUACACAUGCAAGUCGAACGGCAGCACGGGGGCAACCCUGGUGGCGAGUGGCGGACGGGUGAGUAAAGCAUCGGAACGUAUCCUGGAGUGGGGGGAUAACGUAGCGAAAGUUACGCUAAUACCGCAUAUUCUGUGAGCAGGAAAGCAGGGGAUCGCAAGACCUUGCGCUCUGGGAGCGGCCGAUGUCGGAUUAGCUAGUUGGUGGGGUAAAGGCCUACCAAGGCGACGAUCCGUAGCGGGUCUGAGAGGAUGAUCCGCCACACUGGGACUGAGACACGGCCCAGACUCCUACGGGAGGCAGCAGUGGGGAAUUUUGGACAAUGGGCGGAAGCCUGAUCCAGCCAUGCCGCGUGAGUGAAGAAGGCCUCGGUUGU